GGACGAACGCUGGCGGCGUGCUUAACACAUGCAAGUCGAGCGGUAAGGCCCUUCGGGGUACACGAGCGGCGAACGGGUGAGUAACACGUGGGUGAUCUACCCUGUACUUCGGGAUAAGCCUGGGAAACUGGGUCUAAUACCGGAUAUGACCUCUGGGUGCAUGCCUGGGGGUGGAAAGAUUUAUCGGUACAGGAUGGGCCCGCGGCCUAUCAGCUUGUUGGUGGGGUAAUGGCCUACCAAGGCGACGACGGGUAGCCGGCCUGAGAGGGCGACCGGCCACACUGGGACUGAGACACGGCCCAGACUCCUACGGGAGGCAGCAGUGGGGAAUAUUGCACAAUGGGCGGAAGCCUGAUGCAGCGACGCCGCGUGAGGGAUGACGGCCUUCGGGUUGUAAACCUCUUUCGACAGGGACGAAGCGCAAGUGACGGUACCUGUAGAAGAAGCACCGGCCAACUACGU
Molecule: ribosomal RNA, 462 nt
Filed under: Nocardiaceae bacterium 'ARUP UnID 452'
Lineage: Bacteria; Bacillati; Actinomycetota; Actinomycetes; Mycobacteriales; Nocardiaceae
Description: bacterial SSU rRNA
Rfam family: Bacterial small subunit ribosomal RNA
Source: RNAcentral